GUUGCGGUGGCCGAGUGGUUAAGGCGUUGGACUCGAAAUCCAAUGGGAUCUUCCCGCGCAGGUUCGGAUCCUGCCCGCAACG
Nematostella vectensis (starlet sea anemone) is the source of this 82-nucleotide non-coding RNA. Lineage: Eukaryota; Metazoa; Cnidaria; Anthozoa; Actiniaria; Edwardsiidae. The record is from Rfam.